CCCGUUCCUAGAGACCUUACAGAUACUGUUCCAUGUGCUUCAGUAGAUGGCAGAGAGGAGAGAGGCUAUGUCUGUGCUCAGUGUUCUGAACAGUGAACAUCUGAGGGACUAGCAGCCUGACAUU
This 124-nucleotide small nucleolar RNA is filed under the name Microtus ochrogaster (prairie vole). Its description in RNAcentral is "Small nucleolar RNA SNORA17 (ENSMOCG00000008841.1)". It matches the Rfam family "Small nucleolar RNA SNORA17". From Rfam's summary of the family: snoRNA ACA 17 belongs to the H/ACA family of snoRNAs and is predicted to guide pseudouridylation of the 28S rRNA at positions U4659 and U4598. It shares the same host gene together with ACA43. NB This family has a high threshold value to exclude a large number of closely related sequences that do not appear to have conserved H and ACA boxes, and may be pseudogenes. The record is from RNAcentral. Lineage: Eukaryota; Metazoa; Chordata; Mammalia; Rodentia; Cricetidae.